CGCACAUUGCGCCCUUUGGUAUUCCGAAGGGCAUGCCCGUUCGAGCGUUAUUAAACCCACUCAAGCCUGGCUUGGUCAUGGGCGUCGGGACGUCCCCGCGCUUCAAUCUCACCGGCGAGACUUUUUAUCGCGAGCGUCAUGGAUUUUCAACCCGCGAAGCGAUCGAAAAGGCCUCUGCCGUUAAAACUUCAAUCAAGGUUGACCUCGGAUCGGGUAGGGAUACCCGCUGAACUUAA
Molecule: unclassified non-coding RNA, 236 nt
Filed under: Teratosphaeriaceae sp.
Lineage: Eukaryota; Fungi; Ascomycota; Dothideomycetes; Mycosphaerellales; Teratosphaeriaceae
Description: partial contains 5.8S ribosomal RNA, internal transcribed spacer 2, and large subunit ribosomal RNA
Source: RNAcentral